CGGGUUUUUUAGUAACCUGGUAGUAACCCUGCCUGAGCACUAUGUGCCAGUUCACAAGGCCACUCACUCAAUUUUGUUCGACCCCCACAUCAUGACAGAGAGGCCAUACCUGAAUGGACAGCGGGUUGGCCAGCACUGCUGCUCCUCACCACUGCCACAGGGCUGGCUCCUGCAGCAGGCUGGCUCCUGCUCCUGUCCGGCCUCACCCCACUUCCAGCAGCCCAUGUCCCCUCUGCUUUGCCUGCAGGACUCACGCAGCAACAGCCUCAAGACCUGCAAGAAGUAUGGGGAGCUAGGGCGGGAGUUUUGUCGGUGAAGAAGCUUUAGGCUGGAAUCCCUGCUUACCACAUGAAAAAUUUCUGGGGGCACCCCCCGUUGUACAUUUUACUUUGCUCUUUGAUGCCGACUCCUAAGCUGCUCCAUAUUUGAGUCUGCUGAUGGCAGCAGCCUGCUAACUAGCAAACUGGUCUGAGAGGACAGGAUCAGCUGCAGUACCUACAGUUUCCUGGAUCUGCCCUCUGAUCAUGCAGUGCGUGCAUCUCCUGGUUUGAUGGAGACUAGAACAUUAACUCAUCUCUCAAGAGAGGUUUCCACCACUGAAAUCAAGGGAGGCAAGUUACACGUGUAUUACGAAUGUAUGUAUUUGUGCAUACGAUUUUCAAAUUUUGUGUCUGUCACAUGAGACCUGAUCAUCUGUCUUGCCUAGAGUGGAUGACUAACAAGCUUGAUUCCUCUACAAGAUUAAAAAACCCUAUCUCAUGCUGAAACAUCCUGCCACCUGCCCUAAUCAGCGCAGGACUUUUGAAUAAUAAAUAAGAACAGAACAUUCCUCAGAAUUCCUGCUGAACUAUUUCUAUUCAGGUCCUAGAUAUUGCAGAUCCAGAAGAUUAGUGUUGAACAUACCUUCCAGAUGCUCGACAUCUAGCACACAGUGGGCUUGAUCCAAACCACAUUGAAGUCAAUGGGAAACUUUCAAUUGACUUCAGUGGAGAGUGGAUCAAGUCCAUUAGGAGCAGUCCCAGUACUCAGAUGGGCCAGUCCUAACAGAAAGAGGCCAUACGGACUAAGGAAGUUUAAAUCCAGAUGCUUAUUAUCUAUUCACUGCACCUGAACAUCAUUUGUACACAAGAACAAAACAAAUGCAAGAAGCCCCUGGGAACUCAAACCAAUGUUGAUGGACACUAGUUCUAUGACCAGUGGGCAUCAGACCACACCAGCCCUCACUGCUGAUGAGCUCCAGAUCAAGACUGGAUCACCGAGAAUUCUGCAAACCUUGUGUUGGCCCACGUUGUCUCUCACUGCCCCCCUGCCCAAGGUUAUUCAACACACCACAAGGCAGGUGUGGACCGGAGCAUUCAUAUUGUCAUUCCAACUCAGUGUGGAAGUGGCACCCCAGGAAAUAACAAAUCCUUCAAACUACUCCAUUUUACACAUGAAACCAGAGCCAGCACUAAAGCCAAUGUGGGCUUUCUACUCAUUUAUAGAGGCAGAAGACGGCAGUUUCACAAAGGAGCUGUUUGAGAUGCUAUCAGCAAUAGCGGUGAUAUCCCUAAGAUUCCUCUUUCCAGCCAUGUUGACAAGGCCUCGGAUGUAAAACGCCCAAACACAUUUCCUCUUUCUCCAUGUUAGGACUCUUUCGUGUUAUCUCUGGUCCAUCCCACACAGCCAGCCACAUCUUCAGCCUGCUCUUCACACUAAAUGUCAUCACAGAGAAUAUAACACGGUAUGGCCCUAUCUUAGACAACCUCCUCAUUCUGUCAGCAGUCUGAGCUUUUCCCCCAUUCAGGCAACAGGAAGGCUCAUGGACCUCAAUAUGCUUCAGGAAAGCAAAAGCCUCCCAACAGGCUGAGGAGUUGCAUCGCUAAUAAGUCAUUUUGUCCACAUGCACUAGUUACUACCACUGACACCCUAGAUCUCAGAUAGCCCCCUCCUCGCUGUUGCCCACACAAAUCCCAGUGGUCCUUCCUUGAAGAGAGAAGGAAACUUGAGUGCCAAUGACAAAAAACUUGGGUUGAAGCAUACAGAUUAAAACAGGAAGAAUUUCUACAGGCCUCUGGUGAGGCUGUAGGAUACUUCAAUCAUGGCAGAAUCCAGCGCCACUUGAUACGAGAAGAUUUAAGCCUUCUUCACUGGAAGAGGCCACCCAUAUACAGGAAAGGGGCUCCAGAUAAUCUCUUCAAGGCUGGAGGCAGAAAAGGGCAUGAUACAUCCUGCUCCCACCUACCAUUUCCCUCCCUAACCAGGCCCAGCUACUCUCUGACCCAGGCCACCUACAGCUGCUAUACAGAACCCAGUCCUGCAGACCAUGGAGUCACAAGAAGGGAUGACAUUCCAGUGAAGAUGACUCUCCACUUCUGCAUGGAUCCUGGAGCAUGUUCUGGCUCUUGAUCCUAUGGUACUUACUCAGGCAAUUGAGAGUCAAUGGCAGCUUUGCCAAAUUAAGGUGUGAAGUAGGGCCAAACCUCUCAUAACCUUUUUGUUUUUGUUUGGUUUUUUAAAGACCCUGUUUUGUGUUUGCAAGGGUACCUGACCGUAACAUUUACAACAAGGGGGCAAGAGAAAUGAAAUGUGAAAAGAGAAAUCUCUGCCAAACUUCUGCAGAUUGUAGAGUAAUAUCACUGCUGACAGGGAGGGAAAAAAUCUAUCAAGAAGCCAUGCAGACAUUCACCAGAAGACCAUCCAUUGCCAGAUGUUCCAGCGUGGGUGUAAUAAAGAACUUUAACAUUAGCAUGAGUAUAGAAGAGUGACUAGAAAAAAUUAACACAGUCAAGAAAGUCUUCUCUGGAAUAUACUUGCAACUAUUACAGAAUAAGAUCAGAACCAAAGGCUCUCUACAAGCUUCUGCAAAAAGUUUGCUUAGAAACAAGGGAAACAACAAACUAAAGAGCUCUGGUGGGCUACACUCACUCUGGGAGCGCCCCCUUGGGUCCCUGUGUGAUGUCACUGGUAUCUUCUGCUCGAGCACUUCCUGCAGGCCACUUCCCUUUGGUUCCAGGUCUUCUGUGGCUCAGUCCUCCAGCCAAGUUGUGUGAAGUUCAAAGCCCUUCUGAAGUAACUACAAGCCCCUAGUCCCUCUUGGGCUCCACCAAAGUUCAUUGGCCUCUUCUCCUGGUGCCUGCAGAGCUCUUCUCACCUUAAUACCUCUCCAGCAGGCUUCCCCUACUGCCGCCCUUCUCCAGGGAUUCUGACAGCUCUCCUUAGGUAUCUUCCUGCUGCAAAACUUCUCUUAUAACUACUAGCUCUUCUGCCACUGCUGGGCUUCUCUUCUAUUCCCUUAUCCGCAUAGGUCCUAUCUCAGAGCUCCCGCACAGGAUUGUACUCUGCUUUCUAUGGGCACAUCUACACUGCAAUUAAAAACCUGCUGCUGGCCCAUGCCAGUUGACUCCGGCUCAUGGGGCUCGGCCUAAGGGUCUGUUUAAUUGUAGGGUGACAUUCAGGCUCAUGCUGCAGCCUAGGUCUAGAACCCUGCAAGGUGGGAGUCCCAGAGUUUGAGCUGCAACCUGAGUAUCUACACCUCAGUUAAACAGCCCUUUAGCCCGAGCCCAAGUCUGCCAGCAAUGGGUGUCUACUUUCAGUAUAGACACACUCUAUGAGACUCUCAGCCUGCCUUCCUCAGGCUCUUCCCAGAGGAGAAGUCCGCUCAUUCCUCCCUCUAGUGAGUUCCUAGCUCUGUGUAAGUAGUUCUGUCCCUGCUUUACCACCACAGCAGGGGUCAGUUUCUAAUACACCCAGCUGGGAUCACUAAUUAGUCCAUCUGUAGGCAGCUCCAUGGGCAGCACCUUCUGCCUGAAGCCCCGCCUCUUCCACCCCCCCCCAGAUCCCAGAGCCCCCCAACCGCGGCCACCAGCCCCCGCCCCAGGCUAGCCCACCCACAACCUCAGAAUGCAGGGAGGGAGGGCAGCACUGGUGCUGCCCCAGCCCCUGGAGCUGGGCAGAAGAGCGGAAGCAGGGGCCUGGGGGUGGCACCACGCCUGGUUGUUUGGGGAGGCACAGCCUCCCCCAGCCUAUGCUACCUACCGCCCAUGGGCAGCUCCUCAGUGAGACUUGAGGGAUAGCUGCUAAGUCAUGGGCAAGGUUGAGCCCAGCUUGCAUCAAAGGGCCAGCCAGCCCAUGACAGGAGCCUUGUGCUGAAUUCUGUUUUAUGCAGCAUUCAUGGCCCCUUGACCUGUUCAUGACUUGUACUAUAUAGUCCUGACUAAAUCUUGGGUGUUCUGGGGGGCUCCAGGAGAGCAAGUGCUGCUCUGGAGGAGGAGCUCUGGGGCCCCCGCUGGCGCUGGGGGGGGACUCCAGGACACCUGCUGGUACUGGGAGGGGGUCUCUGGGGCACCCACUGGUGCUGGGGGAGGAGCUCCAGGGCACCUAUUGGUGCUCAGUGGGGAGGGGCGUGCAGCCCGGCACCGCUGCAGCCACUGCUGGUGGGGAGCAGCCCAAGACCACCGCCGGCGCUGCUGGUGGUGGGAGGUGGCCCCGCCAGCCUGGGACUGCCACCGCUGCUGGGGUGGUGGUGGGGGUGGUGUGGCUGGCCCCAGGGUUGCCCGAGCUGCUCGGGCAGCCCUGGGGUCAGUAGCACCUGCCGGCUGCAGAAGUCAUGGAGUUCCCAGAAAGUCACUGAAUCUGUGACCUCCGUGACAGACUCACAGCCUUAUUUAUAGCAUUACUUUAUUAGUUCAUUUGUUCAUUCUCCUCACAUUUAAAGGAGGGUACUCCCUUGAGUUUUGUAUCAGGCUAGUGGUCAUUUAUGACCUAUGUGCCUUUUUCACUGAUAAGUGAUAAAUAUAUGUUUGUAAAUCUCUCUUACCUAAUGCUAGUGAAUAUUAAUCUUCCUAGCCCUAAAAUAAAGCCAAGAGAUUGAAAUUAGGGAGAAAGACCCUUUUUAUCAAAAUACAUUGACCAGUUUAAUAAAGAUUACAGAGGGGUCGAAGCUACAAAUGUUCAGAUCAGGGUCCAAAUUUCCCCCAAGUUUUGUGAGAGGGCAGGGUUUGGAUUCAGGGGCUGAUUCAGUUUCCUCAAUGAUGAUAAUAAUAAUUACAGUGGCUUGCUUCAUCCAUCCUGUUCCACACCUGGGUACAGACCUUCCUUCUCUCCCCUGGCCCUCCAACUUCCCAUGCAGGAGAGGAAGACCAGCUGCCUCCAGGGCACUGUCUGCCUCUUCCCAUCACCAAGGGCUCUCUGUGAGCUUGGUGUCCACACAGGUGGAAAAAGCUGAGAUUGGGUGGGCUAGGGCAGUGGCUCUCAACCUUUCCAGACUACUGUACCCCUUUCAGGAGUCUGAUUCGACUUGCGUACCCCCAAGUUUCUCCUCACUUAAAAACUACUCGCUUACCAAAUCAGACACAAAAAUAAAGAAGUGUCACAGCCCACUAGUACUG
Molecule: long non-coding RNA, 5369 nt
Organism: Chelonia mydas (Green sea turtle)
Lineage: Eukaryota; Metazoa; Chordata; Testudines; Cheloniidae
Exons: 4
Source: RefSeq, a predicted model, not a curated record